CAUGGAAUGUGGGGAGGGCAGAAGGAAAAUCAGACCCUUGGUAUCAAGAGAAUCAAGAAGAUUGCUGUGGCAAUAGCUGAUUAGGUAGUCAAACAAAAUCCCCACCCCAUCCCCAGAAGAAAUAUAAACCCUCAUGAACUAAGAAGAGAUCCAGACCCUUGUGUUUUCAGUUAGCUGCGUAAGAAAUCAAACUACCUCAGGAAUAAUGAAGAAGGAAGAAAGAAUAUGGCUUGGUCAUGGAACUUCAUGGAGAAUUCACCAGAUCAGAGGCAUAACAGGGAAGAAAAAAGAGUUGCCCUCCCCCAGAAGGCAAUAUUUUAUUAUCCCAAAUUUACAGAUGAGGAAACUGAAGCUCAGAGAGAACCUUCCUUUGCUAAGGAUAGAACCAAAUUCUAUCACAAGAAACCAAAGACACAUUUUCCUCAGCUGCUUAUAUGCCAGUCAAUACAGUGGAGAAGAAACACAAGAACACACCCAUUCCAGGGAAGUAUCUUUUCAAGGAAACCAAGAAAGUUCAUCUGCUUCUUUCUCAUGCAUGAGUCAGAAGGUCCUCUGGGUCUUACUCUCACACUAUUAACAAUCCAGGGUGAAUAA
This 594-nucleotide long non-coding RNA is filed under the name Monodelphis domestica (gray short-tailed opossum). RNAcentral describes it as "lncRNA (ENSMODG00000040015.1)". Lineage: Eukaryota; Metazoa; Chordata; Mammalia; Didelphimorphia; Didelphidae. The record is from RNAcentral.